UGGGGAAUAUUGGACAAUGGGGGAAACCCUGAUCCAGCAAUGCCGCGUGAGUGAAGAAGGCCUUAGGGUUGUAAAGCUCUUUUGUGGGGGAGGAAGGAUGUUGUGUGAAUAGCGCAGCAUUUUGACGUUACCCCAAGAAUAAGCACCGGCUAACUCUGUGCCAGCAGCCGCGGUAAUACAGAGGGUGCGAGCGUUAAUCGGAAUGACUGGGCGUAAAGGGUGCGUAGGUGGUUUGUUAAGUUAGCUGUGAAAGCCCCGGGCUCAACCUGGGAAUAGCAGCUAAAACUGAUGAGCUAGAGUAGGUGAGAGGAGUGUGGAAUUUCCGGUGUAGCGGUGAAAUGCGUAGAGAUCGGAAAGAACACCAGUGGCGAAGGCGGCACUCUGG
This 385-nucleotide ribosomal RNA is filed under the name uncultured bacterium. RNAcentral's name for it is "bacterial SSU rRNA". It matches the Rfam family "Bacterial small subunit ribosomal RNA", at positions 355 to 732 of the family's 1533-position model. The record is from RNAcentral.